AGAGUUUGAUCAUGGCUCAGGAUGAACGCUGGCGGCGUGCUUAACACAUGCAAGUCGAACGGAACUCUUUGGAUCGAGGCUUCGGCCAAGUGAAUCUGAGUUUAGUGGCGGACGGGUGAGUAACGCGUGAGGAACCUGCCUUUCAGAGGAGAAUAACAGUUGGAAACGACUGCUAAUACCGCAUAACGCAUAGGGAUCGCAUGAUUCUUAUGCCAAAGAUUAUAUCGCUGAAAGAUGGCCUCGCGUCUGAUUAGCUUGUUGGCGGGGUAACGGCCCACCAAGGCGACGAUCAGUAGCCGGACUGAGAGGUUGGCCGGCCACAUUGGGACUGAGAUACGGCCCAGACUCCUACGGGAGGCAGCAGUGGGGAAUAUUGGGCAAUGGGCGCAAGCCUGACCCAGCAACGCCGCGUGAAGGAAGAAGGUCUUCGGAUUGUAAACUUCUUUUAACAGGGACGAUAGUGACGGUACCUGUUGAAUAAGCUCCGGCUAACUACGUGCCAGCAGCCGCGGUAAUACGUAGGGAGCGAGCGUUAUCCGGAUUUACUGGGUGUAAAGGGCGUGUAGGCGGGAUUGCAAGUCAGAUGUGAAAACUCCGGGCUCAACUCGGAGCCUGCAUUUGAAACUGUAGUUCUUGAGUGAUGGAGAGGCAAGCGGAAUUCCUAGUGUAGCGGUGAAAUGCGUAGAUAUUAGGAGGAACACCAGUGGCGAAGGCGGCUUGCUGGACAUUAACUGACGCUAAGGCGCGAAAGCGUGGGGAGCAAACAGGAUUAGAUACCCUGGUAGUCCACGCCGUAAACG
This 800-nucleotide ribosomal RNA is filed under the name uncultured bacterium. RNAcentral's name for it is "bacterial SSU rRNA". It matches the Rfam family "Bacterial small subunit ribosomal RNA", at positions 8 to 808 of the family's 1533-position model. The record is from RNAcentral.